This is an RNA transcript of Dreissena polymorpha, 2707 nucleotides long. RefSeq lists it as uncharacterized. NCBI's taxonomy places the organism in Eukaryota, Metazoa, Mollusca, Bivalvia, Myida, Dreissenidae. The record is from RefSeq and is a predicted model, not a curated record. The transcript is spliced from 8 exons.
GUUUGGAUUGCGACUGUAUACCAUUAUGUAACAGAGCAUGCGCGUUUCAAUUUUGAGCUGUUGGAAUUUCCAAUAAAAUUACCCAUACGAGUUACUACGUAUUCUUCAAAUCUUUUGUGGUGAAUUCUUAAAUGAGCAAGACAAUUUGAUUAUGUGUAUACACCGUUUGAAUUGAUACAAAUGAUUCGUAUUGAUAUUUAUAACGGAUUCGUUGAAGGCGCAAACGAAGCGUCUAAAACAGAGGCAGACAAAUUGAGGUUCUUCAUUGAAAAGAAUGGUGGAUACACAUGUCAAACUGACCAUGCAAUAAGAAUACCUGGAACCGAAGUUAUGAAUAACAUUCACAAUUCAAUUAAUCGUUAUGACAGAAUAAUAAUUCUUAUAACAGAUCAAUCUGCUUCAAAAGGAUGGUUCACAUUUGCAGUUUUGUCUGCCUUAGAAAACAUAAUUGUGGAAAAUCACAUGAUACUUUUGGUCGCAUACAAAGGAAAUCGACGUGAAGAUGUUGGGUUUCUGAAAACCGGAUUGCUGUCGUUGACGCCCAAGACGUUUGUCGACCUCACUGAAUGGCAGGGAUAUGAAAGGCUUCUCAAACAACUGAAAACUCCAGUGUGUUUGGACGAAGAAUUACCAGCGGGAAACUUGCAUCUUGGCUUGGUUCAUUCCCACAUAUCCGGUUACAUGUGCUAUGUUGCUGAAGAACAAGAAUUGGUUGGAGAAAUGCGAUGGUUACAGAAAAGAACAAACAACUACUGAUUGGAAAUGUUCUGUUGGCUGUACCAAAAACCUGCGCUGUCCCACAGCAGCUUCCGUCAAAUUCGGCAUCAGGCAUUGUUAUUUCGAAUGUGGAUACAUUUGAGUUUAAGAGAAUACAUGCGGGUAAAAACACAGAGAUUAUGUUGUUACCAUCAACCAGAUAAAGCACGCGAACAACGAGUUGUACGUUUGUGCCCAGGUACCAACUACGAUAACUGCAAUAUCAAAUCUUGCAAAGCAGCACCUUGGGAAAAUAAAUGUCGCUCUCGAGCACCAGCGUUUCUGUCAAUCAUACCAGCAGAUAAUCGAUGCGAAAGGAUGGGGUGACUUCUUGGAAAUCGUUCCAUGUGAAGGCAGCGACGGCAAACAAUACCAAGAAGACUGGGGCAGAAACUUCUCUAAUAAGCUGGAGUUUUGUCCGAUUUUAAAAGGGUAAGUGCACAACAAGAAUAAGUUUACUAGCAUCUGCAUACUAAUCGAUACUUUAUAAUGUAUGCACAUAUAGUACUGGAGCAUUUGAAUGCCUGGCCCGAUACAUUCAAAGAACGGACAUUAGUCUGGCAAUGUACCUUCAAAGUACCUUCAAAUAUAUUAAAUGGAGAGGAUUAGAACGCAUUCUCGUUAACAUACUAAUACGAAAUAUGUAAUGAGUUAUUGUCCCUUAAAACAAAUACCUGCUUUUCAUUUUUAGUAUUCAUCAAAUAUUUAAAUUUAGAUUAAAUUAAAUACGUAUCCAUACGUGAACGAUAUUUGUAAACACUAGUCAGUGUUUGAUGACAGCAUAAGGUUAGUCAUUAUAGCAACAUGUACAUGUGUUCAAUCUAAUCUAUUUACUUCUCAAAUUUUCCAGAUGAGUGUUUACAUAUCAUGUUUUGAUAUUGAUGGAGAUUCUUGUGAAGAGAUCGAAAAAGAGCUACAAAAACAUCAUAUGAACAUCAUACGACAUGAAAACACACCAGGAAGAUUCCUGCUCUCAGAUGGUGACAAUCGAGAAGGAUGGAUAAUAGUUAUUGUAUCGAAAGAAUCGCUGAAAAGCGAACUGCUUUCUUUCAAUCUCAUAAAAGGCCUGACUGCCGAUGAUGAUGACGGCAGAUUGAGGAUCCUGCUUGUAUUGCGCAGCGGUGUGAAUAUCUCAGAAGUACCAAUAUGUAUUCGUUGGGUUACAGUAUUCAGCGAAGAUGAGAAAUCCUACAAAAACUGGAUUGUAAGAACAAUUUUUUAGGAGAACCAGUAGAUAUUGGCAGGGCACUUCCAGCAGGGGAUGUUAUGUUGGGCCUAUGUCUUGAACUACCUGAAUAUUGUGCUGACGACCAGCAGUCACAUCGUACUGUGAAGAUCCGGGAGGUCCAGACGCCAGCCAUUCGAUGUCAGUAUCAGAUACGCCAUUCUUCAUUAAAACGUUUACAACUCCCUGCAUACUCUAUCCUCGUUUCCCUUGUGAGAAACUGUCCUCUCCAUCGACUCCGUCCGUAAAGCAUCUCCUGUCAACGCCGGCAUAUGCAAUACUGUCAUCAUUUUUGUUUAUACUUUAAUCUAUCGAGAAUAAUAGCCAGAGUUGAUCAUGUAUCUAUGGACAUAAGUACACAGGUAUGGUCUAUUAGUAUUCGAAAAUGCCACGUUGAGCGUGAUUUGUCAUCCAUAUUGAAAAGAACAUUUUUCUGUUCUUAACAACUACGCUGUCAAUAGAAAAAACAAAAAUGAGAAACCCUCAAAAAGUUGUCUGGUAUUUUUCAUUUAGCAGACCUUCGUACGAGUUCAUAUUUGCAGUCGAUGACAAAGAAACAUAUACUUAAAAACUAGGUAUCGAUUUUAACAUGGUGUUCGUAGAGCAAGUUCAUGCGGUUAUCACCAUUGAAACCUUGUCAAUUUUAUUGUUAAUACCAUUUAACCAUGUGUACACCAAGUGUGGCUGUAAAUACAUCUAUAAUAAUUUCGUACUAUUCUCCCUUUA